Molecule: long non-coding RNA, 300 nt
Filed under: Olea europaea (common olive)
Lineage: Eukaryota; Viridiplantae; Streptophyta; Magnoliopsida; Lamiales; Oleaceae
Description: long non-coding RNA (OEUR_LNC014870)
Source: RNAcentral
UGGACUCGAAAACCACAAAUUUAGCACAAGUAGAGCUAGAGAAGUGAGAAGAUCUAAAUGGCCGUCUCAGACUCUCAACACUGUCGAUUCUUCUAUUUGGGGUUUAGGGCAAAAUAAAAAUACGAAUUGAAAAUGCAGGUCUCUAUGUGAAGAAGUAAAGAGAAAAUUAGCUUGCACGAGUGAAGGAGCAAAAACAAAGUACAAAUGGGCUUGGAAAAAAACGAUGACCCUUUGGAAAAAUUUAUAAAGAUAAGAAGAGUUGUAUAAUAGAGAUUGAAAUAACCUUGAGCUUGAGAGUUC